Molecule: transfer-messenger RNA, 393 nt
Filed under: Bacteroidia
Lineage: Bacteria; Pseudomonadati; Bacteroidota
Also listed under: 1 other name
Description: JABDLV01 sp013001815 Standard tmRNA
Rfam family: transfer-messenger RNA
About the family: Bacterial tmRNA, also known as 10Sa RNA or SsrA, is named for its dual tRNA and mRNA-like properties.
Source: RNAcentral
GGGGUCGAUUGGAAUUGACAGAAAGUGAUAUUCUUAGAUAAGCAUGUGGAGUGUUGUUCUUUAGCUCCUUAAAACCAAAGUUCACUCGUCUUAACUGGCGAAAACAACUACGCGCUUGCAGCCUAGUUCCUUAGGAACGAAGCCUAAUUCAUUGCGCCAGGCGUAAUGAGGAAGCUACCCUGCUUUAAGUUUGUUUGUAGACGUUUAGCAUUGGGUAUCGUGAAAUACAAAUUGCGUUGUGCAGGUCUCGCUGCAUAACAAAGGUUUAGAGAAUAAGGCAAUGUUUAGUUUUUCUAAUGCUUGGCAUUGCUCGAAAAUUGAAUUAGAAUAAACAUGUAGAAAGUUUAAUAAUGCCUUUGCUGGACGAGGGUUCAAGUCCCUCCGACUCCACCA